Molecule: long non-coding RNA, 2053 nt
Filed under: Olea europaea (common olive)
Lineage: Eukaryota; Viridiplantae; Streptophyta; Magnoliopsida; Lamiales; Oleaceae
Description: long non-coding RNA (OEUR_LNC014428)
Source: RNAcentral
AAUGAUAAUAAUAAUAACCCCUUGUUGGACAUUUGAUUGAUAUGACUUUAACCUUGACGCGAGGUAAGUAGCUUAGUUUGAGCUUAAAGGUUGAAACAAUCAAAUUAAAGAGAGUCUCUACUUGUUGAUAUGUGUACUAGUAAGGGUGAGAUCUAUCCAAACUAAGAGAGGGUAAGGAUUAUAGUUGUUAAACUCCUAACCUUAGAAAACACCCCAAGAUAACUGAGUGUAUCUCUCGAGUGAUGUAAGGAUAAAUUUGAGCAUUAUGGGUCGGGAACAAACCAUUCAUAAGCUUGAUAAGUUGGCAUGAGUUCACACACACACGUUGAGUAUUGCAACUGACGAGUAAAGGUUAAUUUUAUUCUUGCAAUAUUGAUAUUGUUCUAGUGUAUUGCUGAGUUCCAAUCCUGAGACACGGCAAGCUAUUAAGCCAUGUUAGUUUAACUCUGAGUCACUGCAUUGUUUGAGGACAAACAAUAGUUUAAGUUUGGGGGAUUUGAUAAGUGUGUUUUUACACACUUAUUUGGAUCAUAAACAUGACUUAAACAUGGAUAAAAUGGUUGAAUUGUGACUUAAUCCAGUUAAAUCUAUGCAUUGUAGGUAAUUCAAUGGAAAUUGUGGAAUUCAGGAGAAAAGAGCCAAAGAAGGACCAAAACGCAACAAUUUGAUAGUUCGAGGACCAAAGGCGCAAAUAUUGAAAAGUUGAGCUAAAUGGAAAACGAGAGGGAAGACAUGCCAAGUAUGAGCUCAAUGACAAAGCAAAACAAAUGGAAGAAGAAAAUAUUGAAGAGGGACUGAAAUGAAGACAAUUGAAAGUUGGAGGACUAAAGCGCAAAUACUCAAAAGAUAUGCCGAAUGAGGGGCAUGAGAAUUGAUGGUAUCAAUCAUCAAUUGGAAGAUAAAAUUUGUUGAAAAGAUGAAGAAAUCAAAGAAAGAAGUCAAGAGAAGCAACAAAGAAGUUCAGGGACCAAAUUGAACAAACCACAUAGAUGGUUACUUCUAUGCGACCGCAUAGUGUAACCUUCUAUGCGGUCGCAUAGAAGGCUUCAGGGACUCAAUGAGCCCAAAAAAUUUGAACUAUGCGACCGCAUAGAUUCCUUCUAUGCGGUCGCAUAGAAGGAUUUUUGAAUCUCGGGCGCAGUUUUUCGUUUUGGUUGAAACUCCUUUCCUACUUAAUUUGGACGCGAUAUAAAGACCAGAAUUCAUCAUAUGAAGAGAAGGAACGACCAGGGAGAAGAGAGAGACCAAAAUUGGAGGCAAGAAACUUGAUUUUGGAUUCAAUUUCACACGGGCUCGAAACGGAUUGAAGAUUAUACACACGGAUUGAAGAAAUUCCAUACGGAUGUAUUCUUAUUAUCUUUUAAUUUCGUUUUUUUUAAUUUCUUGAUUUUGCAAUGAUGAUUAUAGGCUAGGGUUCUUGUUCAUUAGGAGUUUGAUGAACCUUUUGAUGAUUUAAAUUUCCGUUAUUUCAUAAAUUCAACAUUAGUUUCGAUUGGACAAAUGUUUGAUUUAUAUGAUUUGAAUGUUUCCAUAAUUAUUUGGCCAAUUAUUAUGUGAUUGUAGAUGAUUUAUUCUUUGCAUUCGAAAGAAGGGGAAUAAAUUCGAUAGAAUAUAAAUCGACAUAGGGUCCGAUAGGGGAUGGAAACUUACCUCUAUGCUUUAUGCAAUUCAUGAAAAUGUUCAUAAAAAGUCAUGCAUUCUUAUACAUUGCAUCAUCCAUAGAAAUAUAGGCUGGUGGUGUGAAGAGUAGAUUCAAUAUAUAUCGAGAGAGUGUAUUGGAUAAUUUAGAAACAUUGAAUUGGCAUUUUGUUCAUCGAUUCGUUGAAUUUGUAAAAUUAGGGUUUUUAAUAGUCAAUUGGGGAUUCAAGUUCUUAAUGAUUUCAUUUCAAUUCAUUUCAAUACAAUAGUUCUAAAAUUGCAUAUUUACAUUUCAGUUGCGUAUUUAUUUCAUUAGAUUAAUGAAAUUUUGAAAUUAGGGUUUCCAAUUUUGAAAUUAGAGUUUUCUUUGCAAUUAGGGUUUCGAAUUGGGGAUUUUUCCCAAAAUUAGGGUUUU